AGCGGGCCGGACGGCCGCGGCGCAGCGGCCUCACGGCAUCGCUGCGGUGAGGAAAGUCCGGGCUCCACAGGGCAGGAUGCCAGCUAACAGCUGGGCGGGGUGACCCGACGGAAAGCGCCACAGAAAAGAAGACUCCCCCGCGCCUGCGGGAGAAAAGCUGAAACGGUGCGGUAAAAGCGCACCAGCGUCGCAGCGAUGCGGCGGCUUGGCAAGCCCCAUCCGGAGCAAGGGCAAAUAGGGAUGCGAUGCGCCGGCCCGGCGUGCAUCCGGGUUGCCUGCUCGAGACGCGCAGCGAUGCGCGUACUAGAUAAAUGGCCGUCUUGAAAGACAGAACCCGGCUUACAGGCCCGCUCC
RNAcentral lists this RNase P RNA (354 nucleotides) under bovine gut metagenome. Its description in RNAcentral is "Bacterial RNase P class A". It matches the Rfam family "Bacterial RNase P class A". Rfam says of the family: Ribonuclease P (RNase P) is a ubiquitous endoribonuclease, found in archaea, bacteria and eukarya as well as chloroplasts and mitochondria. Its best characterised activity is the generation of mature 5'-ends of tRNAs by cleaving the 5'-leader elements of precursor-tRNAs. The record is from RNAcentral.